CAUGCCGCGUGUGUGAAGAAGGCUUCGGGUUGUAAAGCACUUUCAGUCAGGAGGAAAGGUUAGUAGUUAAUACCUGCUAGCUGUGACGUUACUGACAGAAGAAGCACCGGCUAACUCCGUGCCAGCAGCCGCGGUAAUACGGAGGGUGCGAGCGUUAAUCGGAAUUACUGGGCGUAAAGCGUACGCAGGCGGUUUGUUAAGCGAGAUGUGAAAGCCCUGGGCUCAACCUGGGAACUGCAUUUCGAACUGGCAAACUAAGUGUGAUAGAGGGUGGUAAAUUUCAGGUGUAGCGGUGAAAUGCGUAAGAUCUGAAGGAAUACCGAUGGCGAAGGCAGCCACCUGGGUCAACACUGACGCUCAUGUACGAAAGCGUGGGGAGCAAACGGGAUUAGAUACCCCGGUAGUCCACGCCGUAAACGAUGUCUACUAGAAGCUCGGGUCCUCGGACUUGUUUUUCAAAGCUAACGCAUUAAGUAGACCGCCUGGGGAGUACGGCCGCAAGGUUAAAACUCAAAUGAAUUGACGGGGGCCCGCACAAGCGGUGGAGCAUGUGGUUUAAUUCGAAUGCAACGCGAAGAACCUUACCUACACUUGACUAUACAGAGAACUUACCAGAGAUGGUUUUGGUGCCUUCGGGAAACUCUGAUACAGGUGCUGAUGC
Molecule: ribosomal RNA, 661 nt
Filed under: Pseudoalteromonas sp. UST050418-084
Lineage: Bacteria; Pseudomonadati; Pseudomonadota; Gammaproteobacteria; Alteromonadales; Pseudoalteromonadaceae
Description: bacterial SSU rRNA
Rfam family: Bacterial small subunit ribosomal RNA
Source: RNAcentral